Culex pipiens pallens (northern house mosquito) is the source of this 1181-nucleotide long non-coding RNA. RefSeq lists it as uncharacterized. The record is from RefSeq and is a predicted model, not a curated record. NCBI's taxonomy places the organism in Eukaryota, Metazoa, Arthropoda, Insecta, Diptera, Culicidae. The transcript is spliced from 3 exons.
CCAUAUUCUGCAUCAAGCCCCCGACUUGAACGCGCGAGUACGGCCGACCAGGCGACGAACCGAGCAGUGUUUACGCGCGUGAUUCCGUCACCGUCCGUCACCCUGUUCAAGUCGCGUUCGAAACGAAAAAAAAAUGUAACACCGCGUUUGGCCGUGACCAAAGGUGCGAAGGAGGAGUUUGUUUUUCGGACAACGAACCUGGAUUAGAAUCAAUCGAUCCGUAUGGAGCUGAAGUGACCGCAAAAGGAUUGACACGUUCCGGACGAUUUUGGAUAAGAAUUCCGGGGGCAAGUGAAGAAUGUGAGUGGGUGAAGAUCAAUCAUACUUAGUGUUGGCUAGAAUCACGAUCGUGCGGAAAAUAAAAAAAUAAUAAAGAAUAAAUAAUUGUAGGAAAAAAUCUACAACCCAGAAGUGGUCAUUGGUCAGUGGGAAGUUCUAGAAGAGAGAGAAAAAACAUCGAAGAUCAAUCGUCAACUCGCGAUGGCUUGAAGAAUCCAGUUCUGGUCGAGAACUGGAGCCGUGAAUACGUGUGACAAAGUGACACGGGAGCCGAGGAGUCCCCCGCGAUAGUUGUGAAACGUGAAAUAGUGAAAAAACGACGACGAACCCCGCACACUCCUCUGGAUUUAUGCACGUGCGUCGAACGAGUGACCGUGUGUGAAUUGAGAAGUUGAGUGACAGAGAGAGAGAGAGAGAGAGAGAGAGCGAGAAAGUUUCAAGGAAUAGUGAAAUAGUGAAAAGGUGUGCGAAGAAAAGGGUGCGACGGAGAUACGCCGGUUUUAGAACGAACGAUUACUAUAUAUGGUUCUAUUCUAAACAAACCUUAAUUCGUACACACACAAACAACCCAAACCUGAGACGUCGGGACGCACCCCACCAUGAGCGAGUUCAGACUGGCCAGCCCCGUCGGAACUCCCGGCACCGUGCGAAGGGCCAAACGGGGGGCCGUCGAUGGGGUCGUGAUGACUUCCACGACGACGACGCCCAAGACGAUUGUCGCCGAGGCAAAGUUUGAAGGACUCACGCUCGAGGGCGUCAACCAGAAUUUGGUAAGUCACGACUUGAGUUCGAAAUCGUGUGUGUUGUUUGCUUUUAAUUUUCUUAGGGAUUGUGCGGAAUUUUUAAGGUUGCUUUCGAUUUCGAUAUGUGAAUUUUAUGUUUUUGUUUUGCCCCGCAGGUUC